AUUGAACGCUGGCGGCAGGCCUAACACAUGCAAGUCGAGCGGCAGCGGGACCUUCGGGUUGCCGGCGAGCGGCGGACGGGUGAGUAAUGCCUAGGAAUCUGCCUGUUAGUGGGGGAUAACGCGGGGAAACUCGCGCUAAUACCGCAUACGUCCUACGGGAGAAAGCGGGGGCUCUUCGGACCUCGCGCUAACAGAUGAGCCUAGGUCGGAUUAGCUAGUUGGUGGGGUAAUGGCUCACCAAGGCGACGAUCCGUAACUGGUCUGAGAGGAUGAUCAGUCACACUGGAACUGAGACACGGUCCAGACUCCUACGGGAGGCAGCAGUGGGGAAUAUUGGACAAUGGGCGAAAGCCUGAUCCAGCCAUGCCGCGUGUGUGAAGAAGGUCUUCGGAUUGUAAAGCACUUUAAGUCGGGAGGAAGGGCUGUAGGUUAAUACCCUGCGGUUUUGACGUUACCGACAGAAUAAGCACCGGCUAACUUCGUGCCAGCCGCCGCGGUAA
RNAcentral lists this ribosomal RNA (500 nucleotides) under uncultured bacterium. RNAcentral's name for it is "partial 16S ribosomal RNA". It matches the Rfam family "Bacterial small subunit ribosomal RNA", at positions 30 to 523 of the family's 1533-position model. The record is from RNAcentral.